AGGACAUUGAGGAUGUCCUCUCAUUAUAUUACAUUGUAUGACCUUUUCAACAACCCAGGAAGAUGAAUGCAGUGUGGUGUGAAGAAUUGAUUGCAGCGGAGAGACGUGACUAAGGGAGUGAGACCAGUUCAGCAUUCUUCCUCCAAGUGAUCAGUUUAUCUGUGAGGAGAAAUCCCUUAUUUCCCAGGGCAGAUCAUUGUGGCCAGCUUUAAUUGUGAGACCAGGUGGACUAACUGCAGGACAACUUCUCUUCAGUAAAAUGACUCUGCUUACUCUCAUCUCUGAGGCACACAUUGUUCGGUCCUGAAUGAGCUCCGCACACCCAAUUAUCAACUGGACUAGGGAGAGAGCAGGUGGAAGUGUAACUGUCAUAAGGCAGGACAAUUAAAAAGCACUGAAACGGCUAGCACAAUGAAGACUAAGCGGCUUCGACAAGAAAGGUUUGAGUAAAAAGAAACACCUGUAUGUUUUACUCAAUAAGCACAAGCUAUCAUUUUUCAAGUGGCCUUUGAAAUUUCAUGUUUGCUAAAACUGCCCUCCUUUCUCAAAGUAAGCUACAUCACUAUGUAUCCUUAACAAGAUUAA
This 585-nucleotide long non-coding RNA is filed under the name Sarcophilus harrisii (Tasmanian devil). RNAcentral's name for it is "lncRNA (ENSSHAG00000026981.1)". The record is from RNAcentral. Lineage: Eukaryota; Metazoa; Chordata; Mammalia; Dasyuromorphia; Dasyuridae.